RNAcentral lists this ribosomal RNA (330 nucleotides) under Salmonella enterica subsp. enterica serovar Senftenberg. Its description in RNAcentral is "partial 23S ribosomal RNA". It matches the Rfam family "Bacterial large subunit ribosomal RNA", at positions 891 to 1219 of the family's 2925-position model. The record is from RNAcentral. Lineage: Bacteria; Pseudomonadati; Pseudomonadota; Gammaproteobacteria; Enterobacterales; Enterobacteriaceae.
CAUCUCCGGGGGUAGAGCACUGUUUCGGCUAGGGGGCCAUCCCGGCUUACCAACCCGAUGCAAACUGCGAAUACCGGAGAAUGUUAUCACGGGAGACACACGGCGGGUGCUAACGUCCGUCGUGAAGAGGGAAACAACCCAGACCGCCAGCUAAGGUCCCAAAGUCAUGGUUAAGUGGGAAACGAUGUGGGAAGGCCCAGACAGCCAGGAUGUUGGCUUAGAAGCAGCCAUCAUUUAAAGAAAGCGUAAUAGCUCACUGGUCGAGUCGGCCUGCGCGGAAGAUGUAACGGGGCUAAACCAUGCACCGAAGCUGCGGCAGCGACACUGUGU